RNAcentral lists this ribosomal RNA (528 nucleotides) under Netzelia corona. RNAcentral's name for it is "SSU rRNA". It matches the Rfam family "Eukaryotic small subunit ribosomal RNA", at positions 1370 to 1821 of the family's 1831-position model. The record is from RNAcentral. Lineage: Eukaryota; Tubulinea; Elardia; Arcellinida; Netzeliidae.
CUGCNGAGNCGAACCCGGNNNNNCCCGCGGGGGCCGAAGGUUCGCUUGCGUGGGCCUCGGCCCGAUCGUCCGUCCUCGGGGCCUCGGCCCCGGGGUCGGGCGGAGCUUCUCGGAGGGACCCCCCGUACAGCGAAGCGGGUGGAGGCGCGAGGCGAAAACAGGUCUGUGAUGCCCUUAGAUGUUCCGGGCCGCACGCGCGUUACAGUGACGCGCCCAACGAGCUUCGACCCGGCCCGUAGGGGUCGGGUAACCAUCAGGACGCGUCGCGGUGGGGACGGACCGUUGCAACUGUCGUUCUCGAACCAGGAAUUCCUAGUAGGCGCGGGUCAUCAGCCCGCGCCGAUUGCGUCCCUGCCCUUUGUACACACCGCCCGUCGCUCCUACCGAUCGAACGGUCCGGCGAGGACCCGGGACGACCCGCGACCCCCGCGGCCGAAAUGCUACGGGACGCGGGCCGGAACCCUUUCGAACCUUAUCGUUUAGAGGAAGGAGAAGUCGUAACAAGGUCUCCGUAGGUGAACCUGCAGA